UUCAAUAACGCGGCUCUCAGCACCUUGGUGAAAACUGGUGAGGUGCCGAGCCAUUGGAGCUGGCCUCAUGUUAUGCAUCAUCGCCACGGCUCCAUGGGGCCCACGAUACCCUGGCCGACGUGCUGCCGUUGGUGUCAAAUAUCUGCGGAAGCGCUGAUCAGUGGGCUUCCCCGGGAGAGGCCAUGAGACAAAGCUCGCCUGUCAGCGCACAAAGACAAGAGAGACAAUCAGCUCUUACUUUCUCGAUGCAAAAAUCUGUGUUCACUACAGUAAAUAAAUACAUGCUGCAUACUGCAUAA
This is a long non-coding RNA of Hippocampus comes (tiger tail seahorse), 299 nucleotides long. RefSeq lists it as uncharacterized. The record is from RefSeq and is a predicted model, not a curated record. The transcript is spliced from 2 exons. Lineage: Eukaryota; Metazoa; Chordata; Actinopteri; Syngnathiformes; Syngnathidae.